GCUUUUUUUGCAAAUAAAUAUUCCUUUAUCAUUUUCUUAAUAAAAUAUUUCAGGAAUUUACAAAAUAAAUAUUGAAUAAAAACUUCCAUCAUAUCCAUCGAAUAUUCACAAAACAAAGUUCAUCUCGUUGCAAAUUCCCAGACUCCCAAAAUCCACGCAACGCUACUCCGGAUCGAUUAAGGAGAAAAUUAGAUCUAGAGGACCGUUAUUGCACCGCGAUUACCAAUAUUGUAGUAUGCAUCGAUAAUCGAAUGGAUUCCCUAUCUAUCGAUUUUCGCUGAUGCAUCGAUAUUUCGUCAUUUGCCCGUUAAAUAUGCGUCCAUGCCUUUGUAAAGCCAUAUCUUUCGUUGGAUUGUUGCGUCAAAUGCAAUUCAUUCCGCGCGAUUGAUUCACCAUUGAAAAACUGUGUUGCAGUAUGCUUUGCCUUUCGAAAAGUAAUUAACAAGCAGGCUAGCGUGCAUUUAUUUAUUCCGGAAAUAUUCUGUUCGGGGAACAAGCGUGAAAUGCGAUCGGUCCUUGUCAUGUUGAGAUCACAGGAAUCGAACGUGAUGGAGCGGAAUUGAAAUAUAUACGUGUACAGGGAGUUCGGCUAUAGGUAUUUAAAAAAAAAAAGCCAAAAUAAAAUAGCUAUCAAGAAUAAAAAUAAAAAAAUCAGGACUUUAGUUAUUAACGAUUGAAAGAUAGACAAAAAUAUCCUUGAAAUAUUUCAGGUAAUUUUUUUAUUUUUGAUUUUUGUUUUAUUUUGAAUUAAAACAUCGCCUUUUAAAUUUUUAUAUUAUAUCUAUAAGUGAAUAUAUAUAUAUAAGAACAUAUACCAUUGAAUUUUUUAUUACGCUUUUAUUUUACGCUUUUGCACGGUUCGAGUAGAAAUUCCGCUGAAUGCGGCUGGUUGGUUGCAUAGCCGAUAUAACUGAUGCAAGGAAAGAACGAAUACACGCGAUAGAACUGCAAUAUUGGAUAGAUUUGUAAUACACGAGGGAUUCAGAACAAUCAGCCACAUAAAAUGUUGGUUUUAAAUGUUAAAAAUCAAAUGUCAUGAGAUUUGGGAAUCUGUAUUAUUUUAUCCUAAGUUAAUUUCAUGUGGAUAAUAUUUCAAAGAUAUAUUUGAAGAUUAGCCAAUAUGUGUAAUAUCAGCGCACAUAAAAUAGAAAAAAAAAGAAGGCACAAGAAAAAAGUUAAAGGAUCUAUUUUUUGAGAUUUAUAGCGCAAAGAUAAAAAACCAAUUUUUGCACGAUUUAAUAACCAGCUUUUCGUAGAGAAUAUAGAAAGAUUACAAUAUAAAAAAAUUUAAACUAGAGAUUUUAAACAUGAGAAGGCUAAACUUUAUAUUAUAUUUUAUACAACAAGUAAUUUCUCGGACUAGAUAAGAUACAUAAAAAAUUCUAAAGAACCAUAUCUUAAAAUCUAAAAUUAUUAUAGGUAAAAUAGGAAGGUUAACCUUUGAAUGGUUGAUUCAGCUAGCAGUGCACGUAAGAUAAGAUAAGCCGCAAGAAAGAAGCCAGAGAAGUCUAAAAUUUAGGACCCAAAUAUAGGCAAACAUAGGAAAAGCCAAGAAGAUCCCAAAAUUUAUGGCCUUAACAUAGGAAGACCAAUCUUGCACGGUUGAUUCAACAACCAAUUUCGCUUAGAGCGCAAAAUUGAAGCUAGAGAAUUCAUACCCAAGAAAUUAAUACUCGGAUAUAAGAAGACCAAACGAAAGAGGAGCAAUCAUCGAAUGUACACACACACAUGUAGCAUAUCUAACAGGUAGCCCGACAGCAGCACCACCACCACACCCAAACGAAGGGGAGUAGAACGUAAAGGGAAGCUGUAUCGAUUGGAGGCUUUGCUGGGUAACCACCGGCAGCUUCCGUUGGUCCUGCACUCUCCUCCAAAUCUCGCCAUUGGAAAGCCAACGAAUUUUACACCACGUGUUCCAUCGACCAUGUCCAAAGGUCCCGCUUGCUCGAGCUGCCAUGAAUAGACCCGAGUCUCGACUCGACUAACAGAUUUCGUGAUUCCUGUAAUUAAGUUAAUCGAAUCGCCUCUGCAUACAUGUUGGUCUGGCUUAAUAUACAAUCCCGCCACGACCAUUCUAACUAUUGGAGUUUAAAAUAGUACAUCAUGAAUUUUCAAAGGCGUUAGAAGAUAUUUUAAUUCUCUUCAGAAUCUGAAUCUGACGAUGAUUCGUUGAUUGUUUCUAAAUCGAAUUCAUGAUUGAAGGUAUCAAAUAAACUCAAUUUCAGAUUUUUUAUAAUAUUUUAUAAUUAUUAAAAAUGUGCAAUAUAGUUUCUAUACAGUUUCUAUUCGAAUAGAAAAAUAAUUAUAUGUUACAUAUAUAUAUUAUUGGAUUACAAGUAAAGUUGUACACGCAAACUAUGUUCAUCACUCGAAUCGUGUGACAAUCACUAAACAAGUAACACCGCUGUGAAUUCGAAAUCGGAUCGAAAAGCAACUCUUCAAUAUAUAUAGAAUUUUCGAGAUCAAUGAAUGUUACAAAUGCAUUAACCAUAAGACGAAAAAGAUGAACCGCAAAUUGUGGUUCAAAUCAACCGAUUAAAAUGGAACUAGCAGCUAUCGUGAUAGUAAUUAGAUCCAGUUCCAUUGGUUAAAUAGUUGCAAAUGAGAAAAUACCAUUGUCUAUCCGAUUCAAAUGUGUUGUAUGCGAUUUGGUGCAUAUAGGAAGAAAAUUCAUUCGAUUCACACUAAUAGUCUGUGCACGAGCACAAAUGCUAUUCAAUAUGGCUGUACGUGAUUGGAACGUGAAUGUUGAGAUAAAUCUCGUUCUCCAGAAUUGCAUCAUCAUUAUCAAAAUAUAUUCUGGACAAUUUAAGAAGAUGAUAUCAAAAUUUCAAAGAAACAAAUA
This 2845-nucleotide long non-coding RNA is filed under the name Apis dorsata (giant honeybee). Its description in RNAcentral is "uncharacterized LOC102678841". Lineage: Eukaryota; Metazoa; Arthropoda; Insecta; Hymenoptera; Apidae. The record is from RNAcentral.